CAGCGUAUUCCCCUGACACAAACCUAAUCAUGCCAGUUGCCACUAUUUUGAGACAAUUAAACAAUUACGGAUUUAAUGUCCCAAUUGACAAUAGAUUAUCAAAUUAACUAAUUAUCCGGAUCCAAGACAAUCAAUUAAUCAAACAAUCAUAAGCACUGCAACCAAGGAAUAUGCGAAUACCAAUAAAUAAAGGAAAAGAUAAAAUUAAAUCGAUCUCACAAUUUUUAGGCGAUCCAAAGCAUCCGUUGCUCCUUAACUAGAAAAAGGGAAUUAGUUCAUUUUGGUGAACAAAUCCCACGCAAAAUCGAAGAGGAAACUGCAGCCAUCAAUUGGAAAAUGCACAAAUUCGAUCCGAUGGAAUACGGGCUGAAAAGAAAAGCUACUGGAAGUAUCCAUUGUUUUUGCUUCUCCUAACAUACGGAGAAAAGAAAACUACUCAAGGCUAAAAGGAAAAGUCAAAGCUAAAGCUACCAAAAUGCUUCCUGACAUGCCAGGGAGACCAAAAGCUGAGCUAAGUUGUCUUUUGCUCCUGCCAUGCCCGCAGGAGGUUUUUUCAAGCCAGAGGCCCCCCCCCAGGGAAAAGUCCAGCCUUUUUCUUUUAAGCUACAGACGAGAAACUCAAGAUAAAGCCAGCCGUCAGAUGUGCGGCGGCUCUUAGGAGAAAGAAACCCUUCGUCCGUCAUUCCUCUGCAGAAAUUACCGAAAUGGGCGUGACAUCUUCUUUUCCAAAAAUGCCCCUGGGGCAGGCUCUAUCACUUGGGCUCCUUUUCUGCCAAAUUGGUACUUAUUAUCAUAUUUUUGUUCUACUCCCUGAAAUAAAUGAUAAAUACUAAAAGUGAGUAGAAUCCAGCAAUUAAUCCACAUCAAGUCAGGUAAUAGGGGAAAUUAAUAAUAAAAUAAAUGAUAAAAUUGCAACCUAUCAAUUCCCCCCACACCUAAACCAUGCUUGUCCUCAAGCAUAAGAGUAGUAAACGAACACCAAAUUUUGAUAAUGGCCACUGCUCUAUCCACCAAAUUGCCAAGAUACCAAGAAAAAUAAUAAUCAAGCAUCAAUGGUCAAGUCCAAGAAACAUCACUCCUGGUUAGCUUCUAAACCAUAAACUCUUCCAAUUUCAGGUUAACGAAUCUAAGAAAAAGGAAUAAUGUACAACAUUUAUCAGCAAAUGGUCCAACUAUUAACCAAAAUCUCAACAUUAAAUCCAUAAUUCGGCAAGCUGACUUUUAUUACACACUAACACAACCUUCACUUUUUUUCACAAUUUUUUUUUCUACCUUUCUCUCUUUUUUUUUUUUUUUAUUCUCUUCUUUUUUUUUUUCAAUAGUAACAAAAGACUUAGUCGCUAUCCAUUUGAGCCUUUUGACGCGAACUCCAACAUUGGUCAGAUAAAGAAGCCCGGUUACUCAGCUUCUAUCGCCACGUGACCACGUACUCAUAGGAAUUACUACCUUUUGACGCGAGAAUCAACACUUUUGGUGAAAAUCCCCAGUUACUCGGUAGUAAAGACUAGCGGAGUACAGUCAACUCUUAUUCACAGCUAAUAACACAAAAACUCAAUAUAAAACAAAAAUCAAAAGAAAAUUUGCAUCAGCUAGCCUCAUUUUCAAACAUGGAGAACUAAAGUUAAUAACCGGACCAAUUCACAUGAAAAUGCCAAUAAUCAUUCCCUAUGCCUAGGAAAGUUAACCAAAAAUUAUAAGAGUAAAACAAUCAUCGAUAUUCACCAAAGAGAUAUUUUUGGACUCAACCAUAUUAACUUGAUACCCUUUUAUUAUUAAAAUUUGGCAAUAGCAGAAAUAGAGGCAACAAUCCAACAUCAAAUUUUUGCAUGCACUUACGAGCCAAUCACUAAAAAGAAGAAAAUGAAAAUGAAAAUGAACGAAAGAUACUAGCACCAUAACUGCUCCCCCCACACCUAAAUCCUACAUUGUCCUCAAUGGAGGAAUUAAAGCAAUUAAAGUGAAGAGGACAACGAAACUUCCCUCUUUGAGUGGCCAAGAGGUAGGCGGGGACGGUGGAGGAAACCAAUGUGGUGGAAGUACGCGCCCAAGUUCUGAGACAUCAUACUCAAUUCAACCAGCAAAUGCAAAACUCUGUCCUCCCAAAAUCUCAACAAAUAACUCCAGUUGGCCAGUUAAUGCCUUAUCUCAGAAUCAGAAAUUUUAACAUUGAGAGUUUAGGUAUUUGACAAUAACAAUUCAGUCAUAAGUUCUUGGCUGUCAAUUAGACAGCCAAUCAGAUGGAAUUAAAAAAAAAUCUAGUCAAAAUACCCCAACCAGUACCAUUGGUGCACCCCACAGAUAAUGAAGCAACUUAAAUGGCAAACCCAAUCAACAAAAUGUACAUGUGAGGCACCCAAGGUCUAUACAAAUAUCCCAACAAUACAGCAAUUUCAAUCAAUACUCACGGGUGGCCCCAAUUGGGUCAAAUGCAGGCAGUCCAACAUCGCAACAAAUGCUCUAAAGAUUUAGCAAUUGAAAUCAAUAGGUAAAAUACUCCCAGCAAGUCAAUUAGACGCCACCAACAGCAAUAAGCAAUGGAAGUGGCACAGUAGCCUUCCAAUUCAACAAACAAAUGCAGAAAAUACCCAACCAAAGGCACUUCAAGGGACGCAAGACAGAAAUCAGCAAAGUAGAACCCAAGUGAUACCAAAAAUAAAAUUAACAAAGCAGUGAAUUCAACCAAUUUGAAUACAUAGAAUACGGUCAGAAAUGCCUCCUAAAAAUCAACAAAGAGCGGCAAAACUUGCCCACCCAAAAUCUGUCCAAAUGGCUCCAAUUGGACAAGAAAUUGCACACUCAAACGAUCAAAACGUAGCAAUUGGGCCAAGCAACAGGCAAUGGCAACAACCAAUGGUUAGAAUUCGAGAACAGUUCAGGCACCAAAACCCAAGAAUCAAAUAGGCAGGCCAGUACAGAGGAUUAAGAAAUGGAAAGCAACACUGCAACCAGUACCACUGGUGCACAGACAGGGAAGAAUUAAAUUCAAUGGCAGCAACUCAACCGCAAGAACUUAAACUGUAAAAUUAAUCGACCAGUACCACUGGUGAGUCACAGGGAAAAAUAAUCAAGCGGCCAAUAAUUCAAUAAAUAACAGAAAAUACCUCCACUAUGGCAGUAAUUAAACCCAAUUCUGUCCAAAAAGCACCCCCAGAAUAUGCCUAAAUCACCCAUGCUAUUAGCUAUAAAGAAACUCAAACACAGGGUGGACUGGAACGACUCAACCAAAAACGCCCAAUAGGCACAACUCGCUUAAUUAGGCAAUCCAGAACACAGGAUUAUCAGAUAUUAAACAACUACCAUCACCAGUACCACUGGUGAGUGCAUAGGGAGAAAUUAAAGCAGCAGUACCCCCAAAUAUCGCAGCAGUUUAACUCAACUCUACCCAAAUUAGACCAGAAAAUGCCCAAAAUUACUGCCCGCUGUUUUCCAACAAGAAGCCCAAGCAAAGGUGCAAAAUUUCGCAAUUUAGAGUUCAGAAUAAGACAAAUUGAGGCAGGAAUCGCAAUACCUCCACCUGCCAACAAUUGACAGGUGGUAACGAGUUGGGGUGGAGCUGGCGGAGAUGAGAGCUCACGAGCUGGUGGUGGGCUGGUGGACUUCGUCGACGAGCUGCAGGGGGGAGGAAGCCCGGCUCGCGGCUCGCGGCUGGGCUACAGGCAGCGGCGCGCGGGGCUGCUGUGGUGGUGGUUGGGGAGCUUGAGCAGGCGGCGGCGCGCAGCUCAGCGGAGAGGGGCGCCAAGCUGGUGGAGGUGAGCUGAAGUGCAGCUUGUUCGCCAAGUGGAGAGAGAGCAGAGGGGCGGCGCUCGCGUCGGCGGCGCAGCAGCGAGCGGCGAGAGCGAGCAGCGGCGUCUGGCAGCCUGCGUCGCGUGAGGAAGGGUGGCGGAUAGGUGGUGGCGGCGCUGGAGUGAGGUCGAGCUGAUGGUGGAGAUGUGCGUUGCGCGGUGGCGGCGGUGGAGAUGAUGGAAGCUACGGCGGCUGCUGGGAAGAGGCGCGGCGGCGUGCGAAGUGGUCGCAGCUGAAGGGAGAGCUGCGAGGUUGGAGCUGCCUCUGGUGCUGCUGGAGGCGGAUGAGCUGGGUGGAGCGGCGAGGUUGGAGGCGGACCGAGGAGCUGUGGAGGACGCCAGGGGGGAAAGGAGCUGUUGGCGCGCGGCGUGGAGGCUGCGGGCUUGUGGGCAGCUGCGUGCGGCUGCAGAUGAGAGAGAGAGAGAGGGUCGCGCCAGGUGGAGUUGGGGCUGCUGCAGAGGUGGCUGCUGGCGAGUGGAGGAGCUGCGUGUGGCGUGGUCGGAGGUGGGGCGCGGCGCACAAGGGGAGAUCAGCGGCGCGCAAGGUGAGAAGCUUCGGUCGACAGGGAGGAAGAAGAAACAGGGGAGAAAAAAGAAAGAAAAGAAAAAGAAGAAGAAAGAGAGAAAGAAAGAAAGAAAAAAGAAAGAAGAAAGAAGGGAAAAAGAAGAAAGAAAAAGAAAGGAAUUUGGUUUUUUUUUUUUUUUUUUUUUUUUUUUUUAACAUUGGAAACCAACGCUGCGAUGAAGAUUUUUUUUUUUUUUUUGAAACUAAAGCUAUGGUGAUAAGAAAUUUUUAUUUUUGUUUUUAUUUUCAUUAUUUUUUUUUUAUUUUUUUAUAUUUUUUUGAAUCCCUACCCUUCCCGCGAACGUGACGCGGGCACGUCAUGAGGGAAAGAGAGCUCCCAGAAGUUUCAGAAUCUCCUGAUCGUGAGCGUCAUGCACAUCACCACGCGGGCACGUCAUGAGGGCAGGAGAGCUCCCAGAAGUUUCAGAAUUUCCUGAUCGUGAGCGUCAUGCACAUCACCACACGGGCACGUCAUGACCGAAGGGCACCUAUAAAUCAGCAAAAACGAAAACUGAAACCAAAAAUCAGUCGAAUUCCAGGAGAACACUUCUAAACUACUACACGAAAUUGAACAACCAACUAAAAGGAACAAUUGGGUUGCCUCCCAAUGAGCGCCUUUCUUUAAUGUCUUUGGCUAGACAUUAUCAUGUUUUGCUCAUGGAGGAUAAAAUCUUAUGGCUCGUCUUACUGCUUCAUCCUCUAUAUAGUCCUGAUAACCCUCGUAAAUAGAAUAAUCCUUGAGCAUACGAGCUACGGGCUUCCAUGGACUAGUGAAUGGCGCCAAACGAGUCGAUGAUAAUUUACAUUCUCCAUUCACUCCUCCCCCACUUGCAUUUAUUGGUUCAAGAUAUCUCACCAUCGCCACUCUUAAUUUAUUCCUGUCAUGAAAUUCAAAAUUGUCUGGUAUAAUAAAGUCAAUUUCGUUAACAGGAAUUGAAGAGUAAGAGUCAGGAGAAUAUUGAUGAAGGAGUGGAGGGGAUGUCACCGCAUUUGGAGAUUGUUCACUGGAUUCAUUCACUUGAACGAGUUGAUCUUGGAGUCUCAUUUCUUGCACUUCAGCUUCCUUUUCAACUGCAUCUUUAAAUCCGUUUUCUUGAAACUCUUGCAGUUCCAUGUCAUUUGGCCGGACAAUUGCACUCUCAUCUUCCUCAAGAUUGAUAUUGGUUUGUGCUGGCAAUUCUUCCAUUUGAGAAGCCAAUCGAUCUAUCCUGGAUGUCAAUUGACGCAUUUGAUCCGCCAGGUCGCGAAGGCUCGCUUGUGUCUUCUGAUGAAAUCGAUUUAGGCUCGCUUGUGUCUCCUGAUGAAAUCGAUUUGAAUUAGCAAUUAGUAAACCUAUCAUUUCUUCAAGAGACAUACCUGACAAGGAGGAUGAUUGCCGAGACUCUUGCUGUUGAAAAUCCAUUGGCCCGGUUGCAUAAUCAAAAUUGGAAUUAUCCCACCAUCCUUGAUCAUACCCGUUUGAAUAAGGGUCACACUGCGUUUGAUAUUGGGGUGGAAAAUCUCCAAAAGUAUCAAUUGGAGCGCUUAAAUUAUCUUGAAAUGCGGGGCAUGUGUCAGUUGAAUAACCUGAAUCAAAAUAAGUUUCACAAUUUGCAACAGCCCAUUGAUCAUUAGGAAAAACAUGAGUCUCAUAACCCCAUUCAGGAACAAAGUCCAGUCUAUCAUCAAAAUAUGGAAUGUUAGCAGCCAUAAAAAAUAAUAAAAAAAAAUAAGAGAAAAAUAAAUUAAAAAAAAUGAAAACAAGAUAAACUCAAAAAGAAACAAAUUAAUCUGGCACCAGUCCCCGGCAACGGCGCCAAAAAUUGACAGGUUGUCAGCCUGUACAAUAAUAAAACCUGCUCAAACUAAAAGUAAUUUCAGUAGAUAGCGGUGAACAGGGUCGAAUCCACAGGGACUGGGAGUAAUUGUUCCUUUUCAAAUUCACAGUGACAAGGGGGUGUUUUUAUGCAGAAGGUGACAAUAAAAGAAAUUCAAAUAAAAUCUAAGAAACUACUAAAAAUUAAAUAACAAAUUACUAAAAUCAAAUGAAUGAUAAUUAAGGAUCUAACCAAGGAAUAACUUCAGCAAUGGUUCACCUAAUUGAUCAUCGAUAAGCAAAGGCAAUUCCAAUUAUUUACUAAUAAAUAGGUUAUAACUGCCAAACAAGCGAUGACAGUCAACCCCUCCUUACUGUGUCGAUGAUUAAGGUACGCCCGUUAAUCACUGCUCUAAUUGAGAAAUAAUCCUAGGUACGCCCAUAGAAUUUAAUUCCCCAAUUGCCUUACGUAUUAGAGGAGCCCUAUUCUAACCAAAUAACGCACUACCAGGGUUAUUUUAGAUUAGCCAGCGUAUUCCCCUGACACAAACCUAAUCAUGCCAGUUGCCACUAUUUUGAGACAAUUAAACAAUUACGGAUUUAAUGUCCCAAUUGACAAUAGAUUAUCAAAUUAACUAAUUAUCCGGAUCCAAGACAAUCAAUUAAUCAAACAAUCAUAAGCACUGCAACCAAGGAAUAUGCGAAUACCAAUAAAUAAAGGAAAAGAUAAAAUUAAAUCGAUCUCACAAUUUUUAGGCGAUCCAAAGCAUCCGUUGCUCCUUAACUAGAAAAAGGGAAUUAGUUCAUUUUGGUGAACAAAUCCCACGCAAAAUCGAAGAGGAAACUGCAGCCAUCAAUUGGAAAAUGCACAAAUUCGAUCCGAUGGAAUACGGGCUGAAAAGAAAAGCUACUGGAAGUAUCCAUUGUUUUUGCUUCUCCUAACAUACGGAGAAAAGAAAACUACUCAAGGCUAAAAGGAAAAGUCAAAGCUAAAGCUACCAAAAUGCUUCCUGACAUGCCAGGGAGACCAAAAGCUGAGCUAAGUUGUCUUUUGCUCCUGCCAUGCCCGCAGGAGGUUUUUUCAAGCCAGAGGCCCCCCCCAGGGAAAAGUCCAGCCUUUUUCUUUUAAGCUACAGACGAGAAACUCAAGAUAAAGCCAGCCGUCAG
This 7309-nucleotide long non-coding RNA is filed under the name Coffea arabica (coffee). RNAcentral describes it as "long non-coding RNA (CARA_LNC002017)". Lineage: Eukaryota; Viridiplantae; Streptophyta; Magnoliopsida; Gentianales; Rubiaceae. The record is from RNAcentral.